This 350-nucleotide ribosomal RNA is filed under the name uncultured bacterium. Its description in RNAcentral is "bacterial SSU rRNA". It matches the Rfam family "Bacterial small subunit ribosomal RNA", at positions 448 to 793 of the family's 1533-position model. The record is from RNAcentral.
AGUCGUUAAUAGCGGCCUCAUUUGACGUUAGCUGCAGAAGAAGCACCGGCUAACUCCGUGCCAGCAGCCGCGGUAAUACGGAGGGUGCGAGCGUUAAUCGGAAUUACUGGGCGUAAAGCGCAUGCAGGUGGUUUGUUUAAGUCAGAUGUGAAAGACCCGGGGCGUCAACCUCGGAAUUGCAUUUGAAACUGGCAGACUAGAGUACUGUAGAGGGGGUAGAAUUUCAGGUGUAGCGGUGAAAAUGCGUAGAGAUCUGAAGGAAUACCGGUGGCGAAGGCGGCCCCCUGGACAGAUACUGACACUCAGAUGCGAAAGCGUGGGGAGCAAACAGGAUUAGAUACCCCUGGUAG